UUACCGCAUCUUUCGUAUAGGUAUUGAAAUGACACUUAUUGAGACAAGCGUCUGGAAGUCCCCGUUGUUCGCAACAUUGUCGGAAGAUGAAGUUGGGAUUCUG
Non-coding RNA from Caenorhabditis elegans, 103 nucleotides. The record is from Ensembl. NCBI's taxonomy places the organism in Eukaryota, Metazoa, Nematoda, Chromadorea, Rhabditida, Rhabditidae.